RNAcentral lists this ribosomal RNA (251 nucleotides) under uncultured bacterium. RNAcentral's name for it is "partial 16S ribosomal RNA". It matches the Rfam family "Bacterial small subunit ribosomal RNA", at positions 88 to 339 of the family's 1533-position model. The record is from RNAcentral.
UGGAUUAGUGGCGAACGGGUGAGUAACACGUGAGUAACCUGCCCCUUUCUUCGGGAUAAGCUUGGGAAACUGGGUCUAAUACCGGAUAUUCAGCGGCUGCCGCAUGGUGGUUGUUGGAAAGAUUUUUUGGGAGGGGAUGGGCUCGCGGCCUAUCAGCUUGUUGGUGGGGUGAUGGCCUACCAAGGCGUCGACGGGUAGCCGGCCUGAGAGGGUGACCGGCCACACUGGGACUGAGAUACGGCCCAGACUCC